Molecule: non-coding RNA, 288 nt
Organism: Vicia faba (fava bean)
Lineage: Eukaryota; Viridiplantae; Streptophyta; Magnoliopsida; Fabales; Fabaceae
Source: the annotation of a GenBank genome assembly
AUGAAAGAACAACUUACAAUCAGAAACACGGAGGCUUCUCUAAGAGCAGCGACGGUGGUUCGACUGGGAGGAGCUAUGAUUUUCGGUCUAAGGGGUGCUUCACGGGUGGUUGUGGAAGUAGAUCGAGGCGGAUCAAAGCGAGCAUGGGUGAGAGUGUCGCUGAUGUUGCGUGUCUGUCGGUUGCUAACGAGUGUAGCUCUGGUAAGAUUUCGGCGACGACGGUGUUACAAGCAAGGUGAUAAUGGUAUCAGUGGAGUUGUGAGUAUAUGUACAAAGAUUUUAAGGUGA